RNAcentral lists this ribosomal RNA (450 nucleotides) under uncultured Glomeromycotina. RNAcentral describes it as "SSU rRNA". It matches the Rfam family "Eukaryotic small subunit ribosomal RNA", at positions 569 to 1022 of the family's 1831-position model. Lineage: Eukaryota; Fungi; Glomeromycota. The record is from RNAcentral.
AGCAGCCGCGGUAAUUCCAGCUCCAAUAGCGUAUAUUAAAGUUGCUGCAGUUAAAAAGCUCGUAGUUGAAUUUCGGAAUUUGUCGGUCGGUCAGGCUUUAUUGUCCGCACUGACCUGAUAGAUUCCUACCUUCUGAAUAACCAGCAUGCUAUUAAUUUAGUGCGUUGGGGAAGCAGAGCUAUUACCUUGAAAAAUUAGAGUGCUUAAAGCAGGCUUAUGCUUGAAUAGAUUAGCAUGGAAUAAUAAAAUAGGACGGCUUGGUUCUAUUUUGUUGGUUUCUAGGAUCACCGUAAUGAUUAAUAGGGAUAGUUGGGGGCAUUAGUAUUCAAUUGUCAGAGGUGAAAUUCUUGGAUUUAUUGAAGACUAACUUCUGCGAAAGCAUUUGCCAAGGAUGUUUUCAUUAAUCAAGAACGAAAGCUAGGGGAUCGAAGACGAUCAGAUACCGUCGUA